AGAGUUUGAUCCUGGCUCAGAUUGAACGCUGGCGGCAUGCCUUACACAUGCAAGUCGAACGGCAGCGCGGUUGGGGUAACCCAACUGGCGGCGAGUGGCGAACGGGUGAGUAAUAUAUCGGAACGUACCUUGUAAUGGGGGAUAACUCGUUGAAAGAUGAGCUAAUACCGCAUACGCCCUGAGGGGGAAAGUGGGGGACCGCAAGGCCUCACGUUAUAAGAGCGGCCGAUAUCUGAUUAGCUAGUUGGUGAGGUAAAGGCUUACCAAGGCGAUGAUCAGUAGCUGGUCUGAGAGGACGACCAGCCACACUGGAACUGAGAGACGGUCCAGACUCCUACGGGAGGCAGCAGUGGGGAAUUUUGGACAAUGGGGGCAACCCUGAUCCAGCAAUGCCGCGUGAGUGAAGAAGGCCUUCGGGUUGUAAAGCUCUUUUGUUGGGGAAGAAACGGUGAUGGAUAAUACCCAUUAUUAAUGACGGUACCCAAAGAAUAAGCACCGGCUAACUACGUGCCAGCAGCCGCGGUAAUACGUAGGGUGCGAGCGUUAAUCGGAAUUACUGGGCGUAAAGGGUGCGCAGGCGGUUUUAUAAGUCAGCGGUGAAAUACCUGGGCUUAACCUAGGAAUGGCCGUUGAGACUGUAGGGCUAGAGUGUGUCAGAGGGGGGUAGAAUUCCACGUGUAGCAGUGAAAUGCGUAGAGAUGUGGAGGAAUACCGAUGGCGAAGGCAGCCCCCUGGGAUAACACUGACGCUCAUGCACGAAAGCGUGGGGAGCAAACAGGAUUAGAUACCCUAGUAGUCC
This 799-nucleotide ribosomal RNA is filed under the name uncultured bacterium. RNAcentral's name for it is "bacterial SSU rRNA". It matches the Rfam family "Bacterial small subunit ribosomal RNA", at positions 8 to 796 of the family's 1533-position model. The record is from RNAcentral.